Molecule: transfer RNA, 73 nt
Filed under: Silvimonas terrae
Lineage: Bacteria; Pseudomonadati; Pseudomonadota; Betaproteobacteria; Neisseriales; Chitinibacteraceae
Also listed under: 1 other name
Rfam family: tRNA
About the family: Transfer RNA (tRNA) molecules are approximately 80 nucleotides in length. Their secondary structure includes four short double-helical elements and three loops (D, anti-codon, and T loops). Further hydrogen bonds mediate the characteristic L-shaped molecular structure. tRNAs have two regions of fundamental functional importance: the anti-codon, which is responsible for specific mRNA codon recognition, and the 3' end, to which the tRNAs corresponding amino acid is attached (by aminoacyl-tRNA synthetases). tRNAs cope with the degeneracy of the genetic code in two manners: having more than one tRNA (with a specific anti-codon) for a particular amino acid; and 'wobble' base-pairing, i.e. permitting non-standard base-pairing at the 3rd anti-codon position.
Source: Rfam by way of RNAcentral
AGGCGAGUAGCUCAAUUGGUAGAGCACCGGUCUCCAAAACCGGGGGUUGGGGGUUCGAAACCCUCCUCGCCUG